UCUAAUGUGGCAGAAUAGUGCAAUGAAUUUAAGCUUCAUUUAAGAGUAAUAACUCCUUUAGA
Molecule: transfer RNA, 62 nt
Filed under: Ricinus sp. ADS-2020
Lineage: Eukaryota; Metazoa; Arthropoda; Insecta; Psocodea; Ricinidae
Description: tRNA-Leu
Source: RNAcentral